RNAcentral lists this ribosomal RNA (250 nucleotides) under uncultured bacterium. Its description in RNAcentral is "partial 16S ribosomal RNA". It matches the Rfam family "Bacterial small subunit ribosomal RNA", at positions 524 to 773 of the family's 1533-position model. The record is from RNAcentral.
UACGGAGGAUGCAAGCGUUAUCCGGAUUUAUUGGGUUUAAAGGGUGCGCAGGUGGUUGAAUAAGUCAGUGGUGAAAGUCUGCCGCUUAACGGUAGGAUUGCCAUUGAUACUGUUUGACUUGAGUUUAGGUGAGGUAGGCGGAAUGUGUAGUGUAGCGGUGAAAUGCAUAGAUAUUACACAGAACACCGAUUGCGAAGGCAGCUUACUAAUCUACAACUGACACUGAGGCACGAAAGCGUGGGGAUCAAAC